CUGGCUCAGGAUGAACGCUAGCGACAGGCUAACACAUGCAAGUCGAGGGGCAGCAUAGAAGUAGCAAUACUUGGUGGCGACCGGCGCACGGGUGAGUAACGCGUAUGCAACCUACCUAUCAGAGGGGAAUAACCCGGCGAAAGUCGGACUAAUACCGCAUAAAACAGGGGCACCGCAUGGUGAUAUUUGUUAAAGAAAUUCGCUGAUAGAUGGGCAUGCGUUCCAUUAGGUAGUUGGUGAGGUAACGGCUCACCAAGCCGACGAUGGAUAGGGGAACUGAGAGGUUGGUCCCCCACACUGGUACUGAGACACGGACCAGACUCCUACGGGAGGCAGCAGUGAGGAAUAUUGGUCAAUGGGCGGGAGCCUGAACCAGCCAAGUCGCGUGAAGGAAGAAGGAUCUAUGGUUCGUAAACUUCUUUUGCAGGGGAAUAAAGUGCAGGACGUGUCCUGUUUUGUAUGUACCCUGAGAAUAAGGAUCGGCUAACUCCGUGCCAGCAGCUGC
Molecule: ribosomal RNA, 505 nt
Filed under: uncultured bacterium
Lineage: Bacteria
Description: bacterial SSU rRNA
Rfam family: Bacterial small subunit ribosomal RNA
Source: RNAcentral